Non-coding RNA from Pelodiscus sinensis (Chinese soft-shelled turtle), 1537 nucleotides. Lineage: Eukaryota; Metazoa; Chordata; Testudines; Trionychidae. The record is from RefSeq and is a predicted model, not a curated record.
ACUGCUGCACUGAGAAACGUCCCCAGCCACAAGAGAGGCAGAGAUGCGCACAGAGAUGUGACACGUGCAUGCAGAGACAGGAGGGACGUGCACACAGAGAUGUGACACAUGCACGCAGAGACGGGAAGACAAGCACCACUUCAUGGGCACACGCGAAUCCAAACGGAUACGCACGUGUCCACACACAUACACCCCGCUCCCCAAUUGGGGAUAGACAUCUGGCUUGGUUGGCAGGCAUCGGGCCUGGACAUUUUUCACAUGGAGUGCACAAGGCAAGUGCCACUGCCCCAAGGAUCUUCUCCAACAAAACUCCUGCCUGGAGCAAGGAAACCAAACGGAGCUCAGUUCCCAGGCUUGGCAGCCACCAAGCCCAGCAUGGGGUCUGAGGGGGAGAUCCCAGCUCUAGGGCCGGCAGUGCUGCCCUUUUGAGCUCUGCCCCUGCCAACGGGACACUGUUGGCUGUGGACACGACUCUUUGGACAGGAGGUUAGACUCCUCAUCGGAGACUUGGUGUGAGUGUCUAAGCAGCCGCUUCGUGCGCAGAGGUUUGGGGCGUGUUAUUAUCACAAACCAUUAAUGCCCUGCAUAAGCAGAAGUCAGGGAAGGAAAACAGGAGAAGCCAGGACCAUUCAGCAGCAGAACAAGCACCUUGAUCCCUGGCACGUUGGAGGAAUUUCUGAGUGCAGAGGAAAGCGGAGCCAUCCCACACUCGGUCACUCUCAAUUCACAGUCAGUUUCAAUAACCUUCUUGGCCUGGCAAGCUAUGAAUGUGUGGCCAAAGUUAACCCUUCAAGUGCCCGCGGCUGGGACCCGUCUGCAUGAGGGAAAUGGAAGCUCACUAGUAAUUCAGUUCAUUUCUGAUGCAUGCAGAAUCAGACUCUCCGUGUCAGCUUGACUUCGGGGUUUCCUUCCCUCAGCCAUUCCUUCCCCCAAGCUCUAGAGAGGGCAGGCCAGGCUGAGCAGGCAGGAGUCCCUCUCCUGGCCACUACCUGUUAGUUUUGGCAUAAGGAAUGCUGACUUCUUUCCUAUCUUUGGAGGACCCAAGACACCACAAAGCAAAUCACCGAUGCCUAACUGAACUUGUUUCCUGCUGCACAACCGGGUCGUCCUUGUAGAAGGGAGGCAAGAUCACAUCAUAAGAAAAAAAGGGGAACAGACUGUAUCCAAGCCAGGAGAGCAGCAAUGCACGACUUGGGCUAGCGAAUGCACCACAGGAGUGGUCUUCCAUCUCAAUGGGCCUCAAGAUUGUUGUAACCAAGACGGCCUCCCGGGAUAGAGGAGUUUUGCUCACUGCGCUUGUGUACCUCGAAUUUGCGUGCUGUGCCGAUUGAACCGUAGCAGCACUUUGAUUGGAUGCAGAGGGAGCGCGCAGCUCUCACAGCCAAUGCUGCAUGCAAUCAACAUGCACCUCACUUCACGUGAGCUUGCUUCAUGUGCAUGUCACUUUAACCCCAUUAGGAAAAAUUGGGUUGCCAUGUGUCCAGUUUUCACCCGGACAGUCUGGUAAUUACAUCUUCUGUUCAGUAAAAAAAAAAAA